Felis catus (domestic cat) is the source of this 1156-nucleotide long non-coding RNA. RefSeq lists it as uncharacterized. The transcript has 6 exons. Lineage: Eukaryota; Metazoa; Chordata; Mammalia; Carnivora; Felidae. The record is from RefSeq and is a predicted model, not a curated record.
GAAGACCGGUAGUUUUUAUUUUCUGAUUCGGAGAACUCUUGUUCUUGGCAUGCUUUCUCUUGCAACCCAGCCACCAGGCUGUGAAAAGUCCAGACUACUCUGGUAGAGCAGCCCAGCUGAGUUUCCAGCUGACAGCUAGGUUGAAUGACCAGGUUUUCAGUGAGCCAUCUUGUCUGUUCCAGCCCAUUUGAAUCCUCAGGUGACUACAGUCCCAACCAUCAUCAUCUGGAAUAGAAGAACUGCCCAGGCUAUUGCUCUUACAGAAGAAAUUUCUUCCACCAUUCUUAUCCACAGGAUAUCUCCACCCACCUACCACCAUCUCCAAGUCCACAGGAGAGAUGGGGUUGCAAAGCAAGUAAAUGCACUGAAUUCCAAAGAGUGACAAAGUCUGAAGAGAAAAUAUCACCUUUCACAAAGCAUAUGAGGAUGAGGUGAUCACCAAAAAACAGGAACAUGAGACCAGAUGGAAAUUUGAAUUUAUACAAAGAAAUGAAAAGUGCCAGAAAAAAAUAAAAUAAAGGUAAAGGUUUUCUGCUACAAAUCAGAUUUCCUGAUAGAGGUGUACUGAUAUAGAGUGGAAAAGGCAAAGGAAUCUCCUGAUAGAAGAGUAGAAUCCAAAAAUAAUCUGAGAGCAAUUGAAGGUCAUGGUGAGGAACAUGAACGUUGAAAUGGAGGAAACAUGGGUUUGAUUGCCAAUUCUACCCCUCUCGAGUUCUUUGGUUUGGGGUAAAUGAGUCAACCUUACUAGAUUCGGUUCAAUGGAACUAACAUGAAAUCAUUUGCUAUUGAACAUCUAUCUCUACAGGGCACCAUUCUAGGUGCUAGAAGUUCCCCAGUGAACAAGACAGAGAAGAUACAGGAUAUCAUGGAGCUUAAAUUGUUUAGUUUGUCAGAGGAGGUAAAACAAUAACAAGUAGGCAAAUUAGAAAGAUAAUUUUAUAUAUUUAUAUUAUAGGUGGUAAGAAAUAAAAGUAAAUAAUCUGUUAGAGAGAUCCUGGGUCCUUCUUUAGAUGGAAAUUAUGGAAAGCCUCUCUGAGAAGGAGAUAUCUGAGGUGAAACAGAAGGAAAACUCUCCUAUGUGAAAAUCAAGAGGGGGCGCCUGGGUGGCUCAAUCCGUUAAGCGUCCGACUUCGGCUCAGGUCAUGAUCUCACAGUA